AACGAACGCUGGCGGCAUGCCUAACACAUGCAAGUCGAACGGAAUCCUAGCUUGCUAGGUGAGAGUGGCGGACGGGUGAGUAACACGUGGGAAUCUGCCUUUUGGUUCGGGAUAACCGCGGGAAACUGCGGCUAAUACCGAAUGCCCUCGUGAGAGGAAAGAUUUAUCGCCAGAAGAGGAGCCCGCGUCCGAUUAGGUAGUUGGUGGGGUAAAGGCCUACCAAGCCGACGAUCGGUAGCUGGUCUGAGAGGAUGAUCAGCCACACUGGGGCUGAGAUACGGCCCAGACUCCUACGGGAGGCAGCAGUGGGGAAUAUUGGACAAUGGGGGCAACCCUGAUCCAGCAAUGCCGCGUGAGUGAUGAAGGCCUUAGGGUUGUAAAGCUCUUUUGCCAGGGAAGAUGAUGACUGUACCUGGAGAAUAAGCCCCGGCUAACUUCGUGCCAGCCGCCGCCGUAA
This 457-nucleotide ribosomal RNA is filed under the name uncultured bacterium. RNAcentral describes it as "partial 16S ribosomal RNA". It matches the Rfam family "Bacterial small subunit ribosomal RNA", at positions 29 to 523 of the family's 1533-position model. The record is from RNAcentral.